CUGCUGGUACCUCUCCGCCUAGGUCCCAAGAGCCUGACUUGUGAUGUUACUAAAAUACCUCACAAGUUAGGGUCUCAGGGACUAGGAAAAGUCUGGUUUGAUGCAG
This is a microRNA precursor of Meriones unguiculatus (Mongolian gerbil), 106 nucleotides long. The record is from Ensembl. Lineage: Eukaryota; Metazoa; Chordata; Mammalia; Rodentia; Muridae.